This 429-nucleotide ribosomal RNA is filed under the name Chloroflexota bacterium. RNAcentral describes it as "Chloroflexi bacterium partial 16S ribosomal RNA". It matches the Rfam family "Bacterial small subunit ribosomal RNA", at positions 355 to 776 of the family's 1533-position model. Lineage: Bacteria; Bacillati; Chloroflexota. The record is from RNAcentral.
UGGGGAAUAUUGCACAAUGGCCGCAAGCCUGACGCAGCCAUGCCGGUUGUAUGUAGAAGGCCUUCGGGUUUUAAAGUAUUUUCAGCGGGGAGGAAGGGAGUAAAGUUAAUACCUUUGCUCAUUGACGUUACCCGCAGAAGAAGCACCGGCUAACUCCGUGCCAGCAGCCGCGGUAAUACGGAGGGUGCAAGCGGUAAUCGGAAUUACUGGGCGUAAAGCGCACGCAGGCGGUUUGUUAAGUCAGAUGUGGAAUCCCCGGGCUCAACCUGGGAACUGCAUCUGAUAAUGGCAAGCUUGAGUCUCGUAGAGGGGGGUAGAAUUCCAGGUGUAGCGGUGAAAUGCGUAGAGAUCUGGAGGAAUACCGGUGGCGAAGGCGGCCCCCUGGACGAAGACUGACGCUCAGGUGGGGAAGCGUGGGGGGCAAACAGG